ACACUCCUACGGGAGGCAGCAGUGGGGAAUUUUGGACAAUGGGCGAAAGCCUGAUCCAGCAAUGCCGCGUGUGUGAAGAAGGCCUUCGGGUUGUAAAGCACUUUUGUCCGGAAAGAAAUCCUUGGCUCUAAUACAGUCGAGGGAUGACGGUACCGGAAGAAUAAGCACCGGCUAACUACGUGCCAGCAGCCGCGGUAAUACGUAGGGUGCGAGCGUUAAUCGGAAUUACUGGGCGUAAAGCGUGCGCAGGCGGUUUGCUAAGACCGAUGUGAAAUCCCCGGGCUCAACCUGGGAACUGCAUUGGUGACUGGCAGGCUAGAGUAUGGCAGAGGGGGGUAGAAUUCCACGUGUAGCAGUGAAAUGCGUAGAGAUGUGGAGGAAUACCGAUGGCGAAGGCAGCCCCCUGGGCCAAUACUGACGCUCAUGCACGAAAGCGUGGGGAGCAAACAGGAUUAGAAACCCUUGUAGUCCC
This 472-nucleotide ribosomal RNA is filed under the name uncultured organism. RNAcentral's name for it is "partial 16S ribosomal RNA". It matches the Rfam family "Bacterial small subunit ribosomal RNA", at positions 333 to 797 of the family's 1533-position model. The record is from RNAcentral.